UACGUAGGGUGCAAGCGUUAUCCGGAAUUAUUGGGCGUAAAGAGCUCGUAGGCGGUUUGUCGCGUCUGCCGUGAAAGUCCGGGGCUCAACUCCGGAUCUGCGGUGGGUACGGGCAGACUAGAGUGAUGUAGGGGAGACUGGAAUUCCUGGUGUAGCGGUGAAAUGCGCAGAUAUCAGGAGGAACACCGAUGGCGAAGGCAGGUCUCUGGGCAUUAACUGACGCUGAGGAGCGAAAGCGUGGGGAGCAAACAGG
Molecule: ribosomal RNA, 253 nt
Filed under: uncultured bacterium
Lineage: Bacteria
Description: partial 16S ribosomal RNA
Rfam family: Bacterial small subunit ribosomal RNA
Source: RNAcentral